RNAcentral lists this ribosomal RNA (443 nucleotides) under uncultured bacterium. RNAcentral's name for it is "partial 16S ribosomal RNA". It matches the Rfam family "Bacterial small subunit ribosomal RNA", at positions 338 to 795 of the family's 1533-position model. The record is from RNAcentral.
CCUACGGGGUGCUGCAGUGGGGAAUAUUGGGCAAUGGGCGCAAGCCUGACCCAGCAACGCCGCGUGAAGGAAGAAGGCUUUCGGGUUGUAAACUUCUUUUCUCAGGGACGAAGCAAGUGACGGUACCUGAGGAAUAAGCCACGGCUAACUACGUGCCAGCAGCCGCGGUAAUACGUAGGUGGCAAGCGUUAUCCGGAUUUACUGGGUGUAAAGGGCGUGUAGGCGGGAAAGCAAGUCAGAUGUGAAAACCAUGGGCUCAACCUGUGGCCUGCAUUUGAAACUGUUUUUCUUGAGUACUGGGGAGGCAGACGGAAUUCCUAGUGUAGCGGUGAAAUGCGUAGAUAUUAGGAGGAACACCAGUGGCGAAGGCGGUCUGCUGGACAGCAACUGACGCUGAGGCGCGAAAGCGUGGGGAGCAAACAGGAUUAGAUACCCGUGUAGUC